GGGGAUGACCGGUUUCGACAAGGCAUGUGUCGGAUUUGGUUGCACUCCGAGUUUCAGCAUGGAUGGACUCGUUAAAGAAGUCUAUGCAACUGUAGAUGCAGACGAUUAUUCGUAUGCAAUGGCUGCCUAAUUAACACAUAGUUAUUUAGCCGGUCACGCCAUCUGGUGGAAGCGCUUAUUCGGAAGCCUUUUGGUGACAUAACCCGCGCUUGAGCUAACGCUCGCGCAAGUAAGCUUCACGCCUGUAUGUCCGAUGGCAGGUGUGAAUACACAAUCGGAAUAGCAAGCUGACCUUUGUCGCUGGAGUCGUAGCUUGCGAACUUCCAAACAGCGAAGAUGAGUGUGGUAGCCACCUCUUGCAAUGUCUUGGACGCGGGUUCGAGUCCCGCCAUCUCCACAA
Chloroherpeton thalassium ATCC 35110 is the source of this 400-nucleotide non-coding RNA. It matches the Rfam family "transfer-messenger RNA". From Rfam's summary of the family: Bacterial tmRNA, also known as 10Sa RNA or SsrA, is named for its dual tRNA and mRNA-like properties. NCBI's taxonomy places the organism in Bacteria, Pseudomonadati, Chlorobiota, Chlorobiia, Chlorobiales, Chloroherpetonaceae. The record is from Rfam.